GGGGUUGAGCUUUUCUGUGUGUUCAUAGAGCGUUAAAGCUUUAUCGAACAAACCGGCUCUGUCCGACCCCUGCCAAACAAAAGCAACUUCCAUUUCCCUCUGCAGUGGGUACGUAGGGGAUGUGUGGUGCCCAGCAGUGUCGCUGAUGUGCAUAGCUUGCAGUGGGUGGGGGACAUGGUGCCAAAGCACCCAGGGGAGCAGCUAUGCUGCAUGCUGGCACCUGUUGGAGGCUCAGCUGCGGUGUGGGAUAAUGCUGGGCUGCACAAAGCUGGAAUAUACUCAAGAUUAGCCUUGCUGCAUCCACCCUGAGCAAUGUUGCAUCCAUGCUGAGCAGUGCUCUAUCCAUGCUGAGCAGUGCUGCAUCCAUCCUGAGCAAUCCACCCCAGCAAAACAUGACCCACACCAGUAAUGUUGCACUGAGCCCACCAAUGCUACACCCACUCCAUGCAAUGUUGUACCCUCUCCAAGCAAUAUAGCUUUCCGGGCCAUGCAAUGCUACAUAGACCUACCAGCGAUGCAGCAUCCACCCCAUGCAAUUCUAUGCUGACCCUUUACCAAUGCAGCACCCAUCCCAGCAGUGCUGCACCCACUCCAACAUGCAGACACUCUGGGGUGCACUGAUCAAAGUCAAAAGAAUGCAAAAUUCACCCUUCCAGAAAGCAGCAGAGCUGCUGAGGUGUCUGUAGAGGUGUGACCCAUGGAGCUGUGACAUACUGAGGUGUAACCCACAAAGUUGCCCAGUCCUGCUGCCAGUGUUCUAUCCCUCUGCUCCCUCAGCCCACUGCCAAUGCCAACCUCUGAGCCAUCCCCUCUCCAGGGGAUGCUCCUCACUGUGACCAAUCAGCCAGGUGAAUGUUGGCCCCAUGCAAAUUGUCCUUAACCCUUGGAUCUUUGCAGAGAGUAGAAAUUUUCUGACUUUUCCAAGGCCCACCUUGAUUUAUUGAUACUGCAGUUUUCUUUCACUGCACUUCCAACCCAUGGCUUGCCCAAAGCCCCAUUCAACCUGGCCUGAGCCCUUCUAGGGAUAGGGAACCCACAGCUUCUCUGGGCAGUCCGUGCCAGUGCCUCCCCACUGGAGAGCAGAGAACUUCUUCCCAGUGUCUAAUCUAAACCUACCCUCAUUCAUUGGACCUCCAGCUGCAUGCUCAGAAGAGCACUGGGAUCGCUGGGCCCUUGGGAUAUCAGCUGAACCCACCUCCUUCCACUGGGGGCAGUUGUUGUGCUGUCACCUAUUGAUUUCCAGUUCUGUUUCCAAAAUGUAUCUCCAGGACUGAGGCAAUGAGCACAGUGGAGCUCUGGGCUGGUGGAGCCUCACUUUGUUGCUUGUGGAGGGAAGCUGGCACUCAGCAUUGCUGUCAGCAGAGAUUUGCCAGCCUGAUUAUAUUCUUGAGCAUAUGCUUGGAAAUUAGAAGGUACUCUCUGAAGCCGGUGAGGUCGCUCUGAUUUAAAAUCUCAAGGCUCUGCUAGGAAAAUCCUCCUCCUCCUCCUCCUUGCCUUCUCCUCCUCCUUGCUUCUGCAAGCAAUGCAUCUUAUAUUUGGGUACCACAACCAUGAGGAGUUAAAAACCCCAAAAUCCACCUUUGCCAUGAAAAUCCUGCAGGAUCAGCAAAAUCUGUUGGCAUUUAAGUGUGUAGAUGACAAGCACCCUCCUGGUUUGUGUCUGAGUGGGCAGGCAGCACCCCAGUAUAUUUUCUGAGCUAUUUGGAAUGUUUUGGGUCAUAACAUAAUGGGGAGGGAAUGCUUGGAGACUGUGGGCUGUUCCAAACAUCCUCACCAACAGAAAUUGAGGUGUUGAACAACUGUGUCCAAUGCUGGGCAUCAGCAGCGAGGGGUCCACAGCACCUUGCAGGAGGGUCCAGCUCUCCAUGAAGCCCAUCUCACCCACUGCCAAAGCAAAUCUCUCAGUAGUUCAGAACUGAAUGGGAAAUGACAGGAAGAACCGAAGUUUGGAUGUCUCCAGUACAGGAGAUAUUCCGACCAUCACGUUGCAUUCCACUGCCAAUAACCAGCGUGCAAAUCCCAUUGAGCACUGCAUGCGGAGUAUGUGGUGAUGCACUGGGAACACACAGGUUGUCACAGUCCUGUACUUAAGAAGAGCUUGAAAUCUUCCCACUGUGAUGAAAACGCUGUUUCAUGUUAUCACCAUUCCUUAUGAAGCACUGAAAUGAAGCAACGUUUGUGGGAAGAAACAGAAGUUUUAUUAGAUCAACUGGAGUGAUUGCGGACAGCCCCACAGCCUUUGGGGACUGCAGCUUUCUGAGUGCUGCUAAUGGCAAUGCACAAGUUUUUGCAUUGGCACAGGCUGCCCAGAGACACUGUGGAUGCCUCAUCCCUGGAGGUGCUCAGGGCCAGGCUGGAUGGGGCCCUGGAAAGCCUGAUGAAGUGGGAGUUGUCCUUGCCCAUGGCAGGGGUUGGAUCCAGAUGGGCACUGUGGUCCCUUCCAACACAAACCGCUCUGUAGUUCUCUGAUUCUAUGAUUUACCUUCCCAAGUCUUUCAUUUUUCUGUAAUUUCUGGAACUGUACAGCCAAACCAAGCACUUGAAUCAUGGAAGCAGCUGCACAGGAGGCACUAAAUACUGACCAUGUCAGAAGUGCUCCACGUCUUCCCCAUGUCUGGGUACAUCCCGCCAGCCCCUUUGAAUUGAAUCAGAGAAGAAUGCUCCCAGCUUUCAGCUCUGGAAAGCAGUGUACUGGGGAGCAAAUGUGAAAAUAAAUGAUGGUUCUAAAAUGAAAACCAGCAGGACCUAGCCUUGGGCAAGGGAGGUUCAUGCAGCACAUUUGCUAUGUUAACCUCAAGCUCAGCAAUAAGGCAUGUUUUGCAAAUAGGACAGGGUGAUGCCAGCUGUUAUUCUUUUUGGAAAUGAGGGCGAUGGGGAGAGGAUUUUGCCUGUUCAGAAAGAAGAAGAUCCUGACAUUUCUGCAUAAGUUGCAAUGGCUUUCCAUGGAGGUUGUGUUUCUGGGUGGUCUGACUUGCACUCCCCUUGUUGGCACUGUAUUUGGCUCUGACAGCAGUGGAAUUACAGGAAGAUGGGUCUUUUUUAAGAUAAUUUC
This 3052-nucleotide long non-coding RNA is filed under the name Gallus gallus (chicken). Its description in RNAcentral is "lncRNA (ENSGALG00010027495.1)". Lineage: Eukaryota; Metazoa; Chordata; Aves; Galliformes; Phasianidae. The record is from RNAcentral.